GAUGCUGGAAUGCCCUGUAAUCCAAAGUUCCGACGCCCUAGGAUGGAUCUGCGGCCGAUUAGGUUGUUGUUGGGGUAAUGGCCCAACAAGCCCGUAAUCGGUACGGGUUGUGGGAGCAAGAGCCCGGAGUUGGAUUCUGAGACACGAAUCCAGGCCCUACGGGGCGCAGCAGGCGCGAAAACUUUACAAUGCGGGCAACCGUGAUAAGGGAACCUCGAGUGCCUGUAAAUGCAGGCUGUUCAGGUGCCUAAAACACACCUGAAUAAAGGGCCGGGCAAGACCGGUGCCANGCCGCCGUCGGUAAUACCGGCGGCUCGAGUGGUGGCCGCUUUUAUUGGGCUUAAAGCGUUCGUAGCUGGGUUGUUAAGUCUCUUGGGAAAUCUGGCGUGCUUAACCGUCAGGCGUCUAACGGGAUACUGGCAAUCUUGGAACCUCGGCUCGAGUGGUGGCCGCUUUUAUUGGGCUUAAAGCGUUCGUAGCUGGGUUGUUAAGUCUCUUGGGAAAUCUGGCGGCUUAACCGUCAGGCGUCUAAGGGAUACUGGCAAUCUUGGAACCGGGAGAGGUGAGGGGUACUUCGGGGGUAGGAGUGAAAUCCUGUAAUCCUCGAGGGACCACCUGUGGCGAAGGCGCCUCACCAGAACGGCUUCGACAGUGAGGGACGAAAGCUGGGGGAGCAAACCGGAUUAGAUACCCGGGUAGUCCCAGCCGUAAACUAUGCGCGUUAGGUGUAUCGGUGACCACGAGUUACCGAGGUGCCGAAGGGAAACCGUGAAACGUGCCGCCUGGGAAGUACGGUCGCAAGGCUGAAACUUAAAGGAAUUGGCGGGGGAGCACCACAACAGGUGGAGCCUGCGGUUUAAUUGGACUCAACGCCGGGAAGCUCACCGGAUAAGACAGCAGAAUGAUUGCCGGGCUGAAGACUCUGCAUGACUAGCUGAGAGGAGGUGCAUGGCCGUCGUCAGUUCGUACUGUGAAGCAUCCUGUUAAGUCAGGCAACGAGCAAGACCCACGCCAACAGUUGCCAGCAUGGUCUCCGGACUGAUGGGGACACUGUUGGGACCGCCUCUGCUAAAGAGGAGGAAGGAAUGGGCAACGGUAGGUCAGCAUGCCCUGAAUUAUCCGGGCUACACGCGGGCUACAAUGGGCAGGACAAUGGGCAUCGACACCGAAAGGUGAAGGCAAUCUCCUAAACCUGUCCUUAGUUCGGAUUGUGGGCUGCAACUCGCCCACAUGAAGCUGGAAUCUGUAGUAAUCGCGUUUCAAAAUAACGCGGUGAAUUUGUCCCUGCUCCUUGCACACACCGCCCGUCAAACCACCCGAGUGGGGUUUGGAUGAGGUUGCGGUUGUUGCCGCAGUCGAAUCUAGGUUCCGCAAGGGGGGUUAAGUCGUAACAAGGUAGCCGUAGGGGAAUCUGC
Molecule: ribosomal RNA, 1415 nt
Filed under: uncultured archaeon
Lineage: Archaea
Description: 16S ribosomal RNA
Rfam family: Archaeal small subunit ribosomal RNA
Source: RNAcentral